This is a long non-coding RNA of Camelina sativa (false flax), 1139 nucleotides long. RefSeq lists it as uncharacterized. NCBI's taxonomy places the organism in Eukaryota, Viridiplantae, Streptophyta, Magnoliopsida, Brassicales, Brassicaceae. The record is from RefSeq and is a predicted model, not a curated record.
UUACAAGUGCAGUUAAUUGUUUGUUUCAUUGGGUAAUGCAACGAUUCUGAGAAACAAUGGAUUGUUGUUCUAAUUUUGAAGCCGUCUCUCUCUCCUCUCAUUAUUCUCUUCUCUGAAACCCGAAAGUUCAUCGACUUUUCAUCUUCUCUGAAAACCCCGUCGCAACUUUGUGUUUGCUGAUAGCCGCCGUCGAAUCGAUUUAAGGAAGCGAUUAAGAGGCAGUGAGAGAUGAAUUUCUUAAUCCAGACACUACUACUAGGUAAUCCCCCGGCUUUGCCUCUGCCUGCCGACACAGCCAAACCCCCCCGAGACUACUUCCGGGGUUCAAAAUCAUCCCGCUUGUGGGGAGUCUGACUUAGAUCUUGCCGUUAACGCCGGAACUGUUCAUAGAUCAACUGCUCCGAUGGACAAGAGGCAAAAACCCAGUGCUUCUGAGGCGGAGGACAUUAAUCAAGAGCAAAGGUUCUGGUCCACUCCUAAAGACUUAUAUGGACCAGAUCCAACUUUCUUUGUUCUUGUCCACCCAUCAAACCAUCCUUAUUGUUAUCCUUCGUUGUUUCUUUUCACUCGCACAAGUCUGAUGAAGUAGCAAGGACGAGGAAUGUUGUUCCUCCAUUGGUAGACAACCAAAUCCAACAGCCAAGAUCUCUUAACGAAACAGAAACAGGUCCUUCUACUAUGGUUUCUCAUAUGGUGGACCAGAUCAGAAUGCCCAGGUCGGCUGAGGUCGCUGACAUUGCUAAUGUGUUGUCGUCGGUAGACAACACCGACAUACCAAGGCUGGUUGACGAUGAGGCUGUUGUGUCCUCUCGGCUAUGUUAUUCUCUUGCGCCGAUGGAGUUUCCAAGAACAAAUCCAAUUCGGAAAACACCUUUUUCAAAAACAAAAAACCCAAUUCGGCAAACACUACCGGUGGCGGAGGUUGUGGGGGCGGCGGUUGCGGUGGUUGUGGUGGAGGUUUAGAGAUUUCAUUCGUCUUCGUUGGGAAAAAAAAACAGAACAUUGGACCAUUUUACUUUCGUAUUAUCGUUAUGUAUAUAUCGCUUUAUUUUAGUACUGUGUAAGCAUAUAUUGUGUUGUUCUUGUAUAUAAAAAGAAAUACUAUUUCUUUCCAAUUCCAUCUUCAGUUAAACUGUUAA